RNAcentral lists this ribosomal RNA (253 nucleotides) under uncultured bacterium. Its description in RNAcentral is "partial 16S ribosomal RNA". It matches the Rfam family "Bacterial small subunit ribosomal RNA", at positions 524 to 776 of the family's 1533-position model. The record is from RNAcentral.
UACGGAGGGGGCUAGCGUUGUUCGGAAUUACUGGGCGUAAAGCGCACGUAGGCGGCUUUGUAAGUUAGAGGUGAAAGCCCAGGGCUUAACCCUGGAAUUGCCUUUAAGACUGCAUCGCUAGAAUCGUGGAGAGGUGAGUGGAAUUCCGAGUGUAGAGGUGAAAUUCGUAGAUAUUCGGAAGAACACCAGUGGCGAAGGCGACUCACUGGCCCGUUACUGACGCUGAGGCGCGAAAGCGUGGGGAGCAAACAGG